This 505-nucleotide ribosomal RNA is filed under the name uncultured bacterium. Its description in RNAcentral is "bacterial SSU rRNA". It matches the Rfam family "Bacterial small subunit ribosomal RNA", at positions 28 to 526 of the family's 1533-position model. The record is from RNAcentral.
GAUGAACGCUAGCGGCAGGCUUAACACAUGCAAGUCGAGGGGUAACAGGAAGUGCUUGCACUUCGCUGACGACCGGCGAACGGGUGCGUAACGCGUAUGCAACCUACCUUCUACAGGGGGAUAGCCCAGAGAAAUUUGGAAUAAUACCCCAUACGGUCAUUUAAUGGCAUCAUUAUAUGAAGAAAACCCCGGUGGUAGAAGAUGGGCAUGCGUCCUAUUAGUUAGUUGGUAAGGUAAUGGCUUACCAAGACAUCGAUAGGUAGGGGUCCUGAGAGGGAGAUCCCCCACACUGGUACUGAGACACGGACCAGACUCCUACGGGAGGCAGCAGUGAGGAAUAUUGGACAAUGGAGGCAACUCUGAUCCAGCCAUGCCGCGUGCAGGAAGACGGCCCUACGGGUUGUAAACUGCUUUUAUACAGGAAGAAUUGUACCUACGUGUAGGUAUUUGACGGUACUGUAAGAAUAAGGAUCGGCUAACUCCGUGCCAGCCGCCGCCGUAACAC